This 47-nucleotide microRNA precursor is filed under the name Chlorocebus sabaeus (green monkey). RNAcentral describes it as "miRNA (ENSCSAG00000019936.1)". The record is from RNAcentral. Lineage: Eukaryota; Metazoa; Chordata; Mammalia; Primates; Cercopithecidae.
GGCUGGGCAGAGGUCUGAACUGCCUCUGCCUCGUUGGACUCCGGCAG